CCUACGGGGGGCAGCAGUCAAGAACAUUCGACAAUGGGCGAAAGCCUGAUCGAGCGACGCCGCGUGCAGGAAGAAAGACUUCGGUCUGUAAACUGCUUUUGCGUGGGAAGAAUUUUGACGGUACCACGAGAAUAAGGGGUUGCUAACCUCGUGCCAGCAGCAGCGGUAAUACGAGGACCCCGAGCGUUAUCCGGAAUUACUGGGCGUAAAGAGCGAGUAGCCGGCUUUGUUAGUCAGAUGUUAAAUCCUGGAGCUUAACUCCAGGGCUGCGUUUGAAACGGCAAAGCUUGAGCGGCUGAAAGGCACAUGGAACGUGCGGUGUAGGGGUGAAAUCCACUGAUAUUGCACGGAACACCAAAAGCGAAGGCAGUGUGCUGGCAGUCUGCUGACGGUCAAUCGCGAAAGCGUGGAUACGGAAAAGGAUUAGAUACCCGAGUAGUC
Molecule: ribosomal RNA, 441 nt
Filed under: uncultured bacterium
Lineage: Bacteria
Description: bacterial SSU rRNA
Rfam family: Bacterial small subunit ribosomal RNA
Source: RNAcentral